GGCGGGGUGCCGGAGCGGUCGAACGGGGAGGUCUUGAAAACCUCUGAGCCUUCGGGCUCCGUGAGUUCGAAUCUCACCCCCGCCGCCU
RNAcentral lists this transfer RNA (88 nucleotides) under Actinomycetes bacterium. RNAcentral's name for it is "Actinobacteria bacterium tRNA-Ser". It matches the Rfam family "tRNA". From Rfam's summary of the family: Transfer RNA (tRNA) molecules are approximately 80 nucleotides in length. Their secondary structure includes four short double-helical elements and three loops (D, anti-codon, and T loops). Further hydrogen bonds mediate the characteristic L-shaped molecular structure. tRNAs have two regions of fundamental functional importance: the anti-codon, which is responsible for specific mRNA codon recognition, and the 3' end, to which the tRNAs corresponding amino acid is attached (by aminoacyl-tRNA synthetases). tRNAs cope with the degeneracy of the genetic code in two manners: having more than one tRNA (with a specific anti-codon) for a particular amino acid; and 'wobble' base-pairing, i.e. permitting non-standard base-pairing at the 3rd anti-codon position. Lineage: Bacteria; Bacillati; Actinomycetota; Actinomycetes. The record is from RNAcentral.